RNAcentral lists this ribosomal RNA (505 nucleotides) under uncultured bacterium. RNAcentral's name for it is "partial 16S ribosomal RNA". It matches the Rfam family "Bacterial small subunit ribosomal RNA", at positions 29 to 523 of the family's 1533-position model. The record is from RNAcentral.
AGUGAACGCUGGCGGUAGGCCUAACACAUGCAAGUCGAACGGCAGCACAGAGGAGCUUGCUCCUUGGGUGGCGAGUGGCGGACGGGUGAGGAAUACAUCGGAAUCUACUCUGUCGUGGGGGAUAACGUAGGGAAACUUACGCUAAUACCGCAUACGACCUACGGGUGAAAGCAGGGGACCUUCGGGCCUUGCGCGAUUGAAUGAGCCGAUGUCGGAUUAGCUAGUUGGCGGGGUAAAGGCCCACCAAGGCGACGAUCCGUAGCUGGUCUGAGAGGAGGAUCAGCCACACUGGAACUGAGACACGGUCCAGACUCCUACGGGAGGCAGCAGUGGGGAAUAUUGGACAAUGGGCGCAAGCCUGAUCCAGCCAUACCGCGUGGGUGAAGAAGGCCUUCGGGUUGUAAAGCCCUUUUGCUGGGAAAGAAAUCCAGCUGCUAAUACCCGGUUGGGAUGACGGUACCCAAAGAAUAAGCACCGGCUAACUUCGUGCCAGCAGCCGCGGUAA